AGGACGAACGCUGGCGGCGUGCCUAACACAUGCAAGUCGAACGCACCGCAAGGUGAGUGGCGCACGGGUGAGUAACGCGUGGGAACCUGCCCUGGAGUGGGGAAUAACCCGGCGAAAGCCGGGCUAAUACCCCAUACGACCUGAGGGUGAAAGAUUUAUCGCUCUAGGAGGGGCCCGCGUCGGAUUAGCUAGUUGGUGAGGUAACGGCUCACCAAGGCGACGAUCCGUAGCUGGUCUGAGAGGAUGAUCAGCCACACUGGGACUGAGACACGGCCCAGACUCCUACGGGAGGCAGCAGUGGGGAAUAUUGGACAAUGGGGGAAACCCUGAUCCAGCAAUGCCGCGUGAGUGAUGAAGGCCUUAGGGUUGUAAAGCUCUUUCGGCGGGACGAUGAUGACGGUACCGCAGAAGAGCCCCGGCUAACUUCGUGCCAGCAGCCGC
Molecule: ribosomal RNA, 441 nt
Filed under: uncultured bacterium
Lineage: Bacteria
Description: SSU rRNA
Rfam family: Bacterial small subunit ribosomal RNA
Source: RNAcentral